UGGGGAAUAUUGCACAAUGGGCGAAAGCCUGAUGCAGCAACGCCGCGUGAGUGAUGAAGGCCUUCGGGUUGUAAAGCUCUGUCUUUUGGGACGAUAAUGACGGUACCAAAGGAGGAAGCCACGGCUAACUACGUGCCAGCAGCCGCGGUAAUACGUAGGUGGCAAGCGUUGUCCGGAUUUACUGGGCGUAAAGGAUGCGUAGGCGGAUUUUUAAGUGAGAUGUGAAAACCCUAAGCUUAACUUGGGGACUGCAUUUCAUACUGGAAAUCUAGAGUGCGGGAGAGGAGAAGUGGAAUUCCUAGUGUAGCGGUGAAAUGCGUAGAGAUUAGGAAGAACACCAGUGGCGAAGGCGAUUCUCUGGACCGUAACUGACGCUGAGGCAUGAAAGCGUGGGUAGCAAACAGGAUUAGAUACCCUGGUAGUCCACGCCGUAAACGAUGAGUACUAGGUGUAGGAGGUAUCGACCCCUUCUGUGCCGCAGUUAACACAAUAAGUACUCCGCCUGGGAAGUACGAUCGCAAGAUUAAAACUCAAAUGAAUUGAC
RNAcentral lists this ribosomal RNA (544 nucleotides) under uncultured bacterium. Its description in RNAcentral is "partial 16S ribosomal RNA". It matches the Rfam family "Bacterial small subunit ribosomal RNA", at positions 355 to 914 of the family's 1533-position model. The record is from RNAcentral.